RNAcentral lists this ribosomal RNA (468 nucleotides) under uncultured bacterium. Its description in RNAcentral is "partial 16S ribosomal RNA". It matches the Rfam family "Bacterial small subunit ribosomal RNA", at positions 28 to 507 of the family's 1533-position model. The record is from RNAcentral.
GACGAACGCUGGCGGCGUGCUUAACACAUGCCAGUCGAACGGAAAGGCCCUGCUUUUGUGGGGUGCUCGAGUGGCGAACGGGUGAGUAACACGUGAGUAACCUGCCCUUGACUUUGGGAUAACUUCAGGAAACUGGGGCUAAUACCGGAUAGGAGCUCCUGCUGCAUGGUGGGGGUUGGAAAGUUUCGGCGGUUGGGGAUGGACUCGCGGCUUAUCAGCUUGUUGGUGGGGUAGUGGCUUACCAAGGCUUUGACGGGUAGCCGGCCUGAGAGGGUGACCGGCGACAUUGGGACUGAGAGACGGCCCAGACGCCUACGGGAGGCAGCAGUGGGGAAUAUUGCACAAUGGGCGGAAGCCUGAUGCAGCAACGCCGCGUGCGGGAUGACGGCCUUCGGGUUGUAAACCGCUUUCGCCUGUGACGAAGCGGGAGUGACGGUAAUGGGUAAAGAAGCACCGGCUAACUACGUG